CUGAGAAUAUCUGAAUUUAUUGCAAUUUAUAAUAACAGCAUGAACAAUUUAACAUACAUUAAUAUAUGAGGGUAUUUUUGGAAAGAAAUUAGUAUUUGCACCUCCUUCCUUGAGCCACUGAACUUUAGAUUUCUGGCAAAGCAAUGAUUCAUGUAAAUUUGUGAUGAGCAAAUAUUUUCCCAACAACUCCUUCCUUUCCAGACCUUGCUCUCUCGUUGAUUGUUGAUCCUCCGCUUUCAAAUCAAGUUCAUUCAUUCUCAAAACAACCUCACUUCUCUUUGUGUUCAAGAUUUCCAAAAACCUCAAAGUUUCACUUCCUCAGCAAAGAUUUUAUAAUUAAUGAUACAUACACAUCUUACUUUCUCUUCCAUCUCAUUUGCACACAUUUUUAUUCUUAUCUCUCUCUACAUUUCCUGUCACAUCACAAAUUGUAUCACUCAUUUCUCUCUUAUUUCUUCUUUACCUCACAAGGUGGAGGUGGAUUUAAAUUGUCAACUAAACAUCAUUCAAUAUUAUAUUAGUCUACCUAAAGUUAGGCUAUGAUAAUUUUAGCUAUAAAAAUCAAUACAUAUAUUAAAACAUAAUCAUUCUAAGAAGUUGUUAGCUGAUGUGUCAGCUCCACAAAUUUUUGGCAAUAUUUUAUUCCCCCACCUGAAUAAACUGCAAUAUUUUAUUCACUCACCCAUUAUUUUAAUACAGUUUAUUCCAACACCUUCUCUCACCUUCUAUGCCAUCAAUGCGUUUUUCUUUUUCCCCCUCCCAACCACCGGUGUCUCUUCUCAUUCUUCUUUUUUUUUCCCUCUCUUCAUUUUCCCUUCUUAAUUUUCCUCGAUUUUGUUCAUUCUUUUUCGGUUUUUCCGUGCACAACUACAUUCUUCCUCUGUUAUUGAUGGCUUCGCCGCCCAUUUUGUUCACCCAAUGUUAUUCUCACCAACCAAAAUUUGUUUUCUGUUUUUUUUUAAAACAAUUUGGUGCAUUUGUUCCCAAACCAUGAUUGUUUUUCUUUGAUUCUUCAGCUUCUGCUGUUUAAAAUUCAAAUUGUUAUGUCACUCCAUCUCUUCUAUAAAAGGGUUUGAUUUCUCAAGCCCAGACCCAGAAACCCUAUUCGAUAAUUUCUUCCUAAUCCCUUUUCAAGCUUUUUCGCCAUGUCUCUUAGGGUUGAUGAUGUUUCCAGCAUUGAUGUUUCGAAAGAAACGUGGUCUAUCGUGGUGAAGGUCAUUCGUCUUUGGUUAACUCCAAGCUAUUCUGGAUCUAAACUACCGUCGUCUUUAGAGAUGGUUUACAUGGAUUCAAAGGGUGCUAAAAUUCAAAGAACCAGACACGUCCUACCUUAUAGAUGUGAUAGGUAUCCUGACAGGGUCGUCCGGGGAGCAGGAGUUCGAAAAACAUGGAAGAGUGCAAAAGAGGAUUACAUUAGAACUUGAUCAGGAAGGGGUUCGCAUUGAAGCUUCUUUUUUUGGAAAAUAUGUGGAUGAAAUAGUUUGUCAGUUGGCUUUUGGUGACAUGACUAAUGCAGUUGUUGUAAUUCAAUUUGCCAAGAUCAAGCCUUUCAAAGGUUAAGGAAGACCAAGUUGAACAAACUAUUGAAGCUGUAGUUCCUAACAAUGAAUCUGGAUCUGUGAAUUUGAGUCCUUUUUCUGUCCAAGUUGAUAUUGUAUCCUCUAUUUCCAAGAACCCUGAACUGACUGAUGUUAGUGAGGUUGAUGUGAAUCUUAAGCAAAAAACAGUGGCUGGAAGGAAGGUUAAUUCUGUGGCAAACCUGAAAGAAACUUCUCCUCCGGAUGAGAAUAAUGUGAAGGUUUGUGAUGUUGUUGACAAGAUUGAAGCUGCACUUCCUGACAAUGUAUUAUCUCAAGUCCCCCUUCAGGCUGGAAACAAUGAUUCUCCUCCAUCCAAGCGUCCUGUCCCUGUUGAUGUUGAUGCCCUUGCAAAUGGUGUUGGAACAAGAAGCCGUUGAAGAUUGUUAAGCAGGAGAAGAUGUGAAAGAUCAAGAUGUUUUUUGGAGUUGUUUUUUGUCUUUUGGUGUUUUAGUGGGGUCUUUGACCCAUGAAUUUCUCUUUUAAGAACUUUGGUUAUUUUGUUUCUUUUGUUGAAUUUUGUUUCGAGUUGCUCAUUGUGCUGAGCUUGAUGGUUGUAAUGACAUUGCUAUGAUUUUUGCUUUCA
Molecule: long non-coding RNA, 2163 nt
Organism: Lotus japonicus
Lineage: Eukaryota; Viridiplantae; Streptophyta; Magnoliopsida; Fabales; Fabaceae
Exons: 7
Source: RefSeq, a predicted model, not a curated record